GUCGCGGGGUCUUUGGUGGUCUUCUUCAGCCGCGGAGCGUCUCGCCUUCGGCCGCUCCGAGAAACGCGGCGGUGACGCAACGGCACGGGGGGAUUUCACUAGUCCCGGGCGAUGCAAAGUUUAUCAUCUCCAAAUUAUUUUCAAAACACUGCAUACAAAGGACUCAUCACAGGCUCAAUACAGGAGAGGUAAGAACCAACUGACACACUCACAAUGUCAGGCGAACAAACAAGAAGGAAAAAAAAGACCAAAGAGAGAGAGAGAGAGAGAGAGAGAGCUCUGUAACAGAAAAAAGUCAAAAAAUAAACACACUCCUUUUUAAAAUUAUUAUGAAAAAAUACAAACAAUUUUACAAAUAUUCAUAUUGUGUAAUAAACCAUUUACACUUAGUUCAGCACACCAGGUGAACUUUUUCUUUUUUUUUCUUUUUUUAAAUAACUCAUGUCGCUACAAUGUAUCCUGUUUUGUGUUUCAUCAAGUGGAAGAUUUUUUUAAAUUUUUUAUUUUUUAGAUUUUUGUUUUUUUGUCAUUUUUCUUUUUUGCACACGUAAACAAAAAUGUAUUCCAAUUGGACAGUUGACUGUAGAUGAGGUAACGCUCACGCUCACACACACACACACACACACACACACACACCUGCUCAAACACACUCGCUCACACACAGUGCACAACACCAGGAAAGUCACGACUACAGAAAUGAAAUGCAUCAACAGUACGAGAAGGCCACAAUCAUGACUGAGUAAAUAGUAUGAAACGUGAACAAAAACUACAUUAAAAUUACAAUGACUUCAUUGUCACUGUGGAAUUAUAACGCACCAUAAAGAAUAUGGAUGGUCUACACACUAUUAAGAUCAAGGUGACAGGAUUAACAGCUGGAAUGAGUGUGAAAAUGUUUCGAUUUUAUGCAUAAAAUGUAAACUCAACCUUUCGCCUUUUACAAAAAUUCUAGAACCAAAAUUACAAAGCCAUAUAGACAAUUUAAAAAGCUUUUCCCAUCGGAGCCAUAAGCUAGAGCAGAAAUCAAUCAUGAUGGGGAAAAAAAAAAAAAAUUCAAUGAUAUGUAUCUCGAAUGCAUAUAAAAAGGCUUCCUAACAGCAAAAUGUUUGCAGUCUCUUUGGGUAUACUGACUUAAGAACUUGAAUGUGUGGCUUUCAGAAGUUCCCUCCCCUUACUUCUAAAGGCCCCUCCCACAACAGAUUACAUGCACUCUGCAAGAUAAGCCAUUGAAGACCAUAACUUCUCACAACCACUGGUACCCCCACCCCGCCCCGCGCCCCAAGAUAACAAUAACAUUCAGCAUGGUGUGCUAGCAAAGGCAGACUUGAAUGAAAGUAACGGUCCAUGAGAUUCAUACACAGCUGAAACGCCACAUUUCCAUGUUCCAAAGAGCCCAGAAUUGUGGCCAGCAAAUAAUUCCCAUCUGUAACUGUACAUGAAUAAACUAUUUUCUACAGAUGCCAUUGUGAAAGUGUAUAUUGUUCAUAAUUUAAACAACAAAACAAAUGCAAGUGUAUUUAAGAGAUGUACAUAUGUAUACUGUUUCGUUUUGGCAUCAUCUUCGCCAGACAUGUAAAAAGGAAAGUGACACAAAGUUCACAUAAAAAUCUUUACAAAAUAAACUCAAAACUAAAUGCAUAUUAAAAAAGUUUGACAAAACUUAUAAAAAAUUUGCAUAAGAAGGCAUGCUUUUUGUUGAACUGAUUGGACAGGUUGGUGUUCUGGGGGUUUGAGUCUAUCCAAUCAGAUUGCAGGUUUUCUUUGAUCCGCUCAGCCUUGCUAAUAGUCAAGGCUGAAAUCUAAAUACCUGAUUCAGGUACAAGUCCAGUACUCUAACUCAGUGACCGAAGGAGAGAUGAAGAACAUGAUGCUAAUAAGAAAGGGUGCAAGUUGUUUUAAGAGCAGAGUGUUAUGUAUGACAUUAAGUAAUAGUCACUGGCCUGAACAGUCCUGUUUUGUGAUACACGAGAAAAAAAAAAUCUCUUGAAUCACACACUACAAAAGAACUUAAAACGAGCAGACACUUAAGUAUUUUUUUGGGGGGGGAAAUGAGUAAUACUUAGGACAUUCCUAUAAAAGUGCAUAAAGACAGGAAACCAUGACUUCCUAAACUUCCAGAACUUUUUUCCAAUGAAUGUCAAUCCAAAAAACACAUUUUUUUUGUCACAAGUUUCACACACCUAAUAUUUUGGUAGCACAGAGUGCUCUGAUAAACCAAUGAAUUCAUUUAAAACACAUUAUAAGGACCAAUUUUGUGCAACCACUUAGAUACUUUUGUUCAGAGUAUUAAAAAGCUCAAGGCAACUCCUUAAAAUAUAGCUUACCUAUUCUGAAGGGGCUCUUUAACUUCACAGCAGAUAACUAGAUUAAGUAAAGACAGACAGGACUACACCAACACAAGCACAUCACUAAAACCAUUUCAAUUUAACCAAAUGAAAUUACAACAAAUGUGCUUCUAAUCAAGGUUAACUGAGUGACUUUUACAGAGAGAGGGAAAUGGGACCAGUUUAUGAAAUUAAAUUCAGUAUGUAAAAGGUUGAAGGCACUCUGGGCACCUGUACAAGAAGGAAUAAAAGUAGUUUUCUUUAAAUAUUCUCAAGACUGACAAUGGUGACUUUUGGAAGGCCUUAAAUAUUCACGUCGGUAUGUUAUGCCACAAUGGACGCCAUGAUAUGAAUGUUUAUCCGUUAUUACCCAGUCUUGGCUCAAAGGGUAACAGGGCAUUAUGGGAAUGUAUUAAGGAUAAGUAUGUGAAUUUUCACAGUAGAUUGUGAGAAAUUGCAGCACAUUGUUGAUAUAACCAAGACCCCAUCCACUAAGAAUCACAAACUGGGUUUUAAAGCCAUGAAAUCCUGACUAAUCAAGAUAAAUCCAUCAUUCAAAACUAACAAAACAGUAAACAUCAUCCCAAACAGAAUCCAUGUUGUGGUAGGUUCUCUCUCAUGUUUAAACAGCCAGAAUGACCUAUGCUUCUUUUUAAGUAAUCUUGAAUAAAUGUGCACUACUGUAUACAUACAGUCAAAAUAAGCACUUACUAAGAUGCCCUAAACGGAUACGUGGAAUUUGAUAUGUGUUCAAUCCUAGCCUGAGCGGCUAUCCUCACAAAGCUAAAAGGGAUAUGCUUUUUUGGAAUGGCCUGACAUUAACAUAACAUAAAAGGUGCCAGCCGUGCAUUACUUUUAAGACUUAAGACGUUACCUGGGACAUUAUAAGAUACUAUGCGAUACAACGCGAUACAACAAAAAAAGCCAACAAAAACCAACAGAAGACUGUCAUAAACAGUGCUUCCCACUUUGAUUUUACAGGAUGUUGAAAAAUUUAAAGACGAACAGAAAAGAUUUAAGCGCUUUUUGAAAAAUUUGCUCAAAAAGUCUCUUAAUAGGUUGUUAGUGCGUUUGCUUAAGUUAUCUGCAAUAAAGCUUGUGCUUUAAUUAAGGGUUUUCUGUUGUUUCCUUAUUACUGAAUUUGGCUCAUACAUCAAACCCUCAAGUUUAAGACAGCAAAUUGUGACUUAGUCAUUAUUGUUUUUCAAGAAACAAAAAGGUUUUGGAAAAAUGGGGAUAGGACAAGUCCAAUAUAUUCAGACUAAACACAGUAAGAGGAUAUUUCAAUUAUUUUCCAAAAAAAACAAAACUAAAGAAUUUGGCAGUUUGGAAUUACAAAAACAAUAACAACAACAACAA
This is a long non-coding RNA of Puntigrus tetrazona (Sumatra barb), 3680 nucleotides long. RefSeq lists it as uncharacterized. NCBI's taxonomy places the organism in Eukaryota, Metazoa, Chordata, Actinopteri, Cypriniformes, Cyprinidae. The transcript is spliced from 2 exons. The record is from RefSeq and is a predicted model, not a curated record.